RNAcentral lists this ribosomal RNA (305 nucleotides) under uncultured bacterium. Its description in RNAcentral is "bacterial SSU rRNA". It matches the Rfam family "Bacterial small subunit ribosomal RNA", at positions 334 to 636 of the family's 1533-position model. The record is from RNAcentral.
UAUCCCUACGGGAGGCAGCAGUUAGGACUCUUGGUCAAUUUACUAGAGUCUGAACCAGCCAAGUAGCGUGAAGGAUGACUGCCCUAUGGGUUGUAAACUUCUUUUAUGUGGGAAUAAAACAGGGUAUGCAUACCCUCUUGUAUGUACCAUAUGAAUAAGGAUCGGCUAACUCCGUGCCAGCAGCCGCGGUAAUACGGAGGAUCCGAGCGUUAUCCGGAUUUAUUGGGUUUAAAGGGAGCGUAGGUGGAUUGUUAAGUCAGUUGUGAAAGUUUGCGGCUCAACCGUAAAAUUGCAGUUGAAACUGG